AGAUCUUUUUAUCCAGAGAAGUACCAGUUUGUUGUUUUUCCUUCCGAAGCCAAGUCCUCGAGUUUCAGGUAGACUUCAGUUGAUUUCUGCGAGGUCUUUGCUUUCUCUCUGCCAGAAUAAUCACUGCUGAGGAAAGCAAAAAGCCCCGAAGAGCCUGGCUUGGAAUAAAAACAUGCACCAUACAAGAUUUUUAUGAAGAUUAAAUAACUUGGGCUAAAAUAUUCUGGAAGCUGCCAAGGGCUCUACAGAUGAGCUAUACAGAGGCAUUUGCUGAAAACUGGCCUGGAUUGACAAGCGCAAUGCAAACGUGGCUGCGGCAGUUCCAGGCAUCACAUGGUAACAAGAUCACAUCCAGUGAAGAAGGAAUUCUCAUAAGACAGUCAGCAGAUUUUGCAGGUGAAGAUACACAAAGGAUAGAUCAAGGUCAUGAUUUAAUGCAGAUGGCUGAAUUAUGACCAAAAAAACAUCCAUAGUCAGCUCCAGUCAUAUUUCUGACCUGAGGCUGGGCUUAAGGUCUACACAGCUGGAAACAUCCAUUUCUGAUGCCAGCUACAUCAUUCCCUGAUGAGAACAGUGCCAGCAGUGAACCCCUCACCACUCCCCACACCCAACCCCCACCUCAGUGUCCCCAGGGUAUUAUCAGUUGUGUCAGCCUAGAGUCUCUGAGUUUGGUCUGGCUCUGCCCCUCCCCCAUCCGUUUAGAAAGAAUCUAUUUCUGUUUCUCUCUCUCUCUCUCUCUCAUGCCUCAAUCUCAUGUCCUCCUGCUGACUCUAAAGAGACAGCUGAUUGUGGGAAAGAUUUAAAUUGGGUUAUUCUCUCUUAAUAUAAUUUUUGUAAAAUACUAUAAAUGAAUUUCUUCAUGGCCGCCAAAGAGAAGUGCUGCUAUUUCUAGCACCAGACUGACAGGAAUGGUGCCUGUUAGGAUUAAGUUAAGCUGCAAUGGGAACAUUAAAUAUGGCUUAAACAAGA
RNAcentral lists this long non-coding RNA (969 nucleotides) under Homo sapiens (human). RNAcentral's name for it is "cardiac hypertrophy associated epigenetic regulator 1 (CHAER1)". The record is from RNAcentral. Lineage: Eukaryota; Metazoa; Chordata; Mammalia; Primates; Hominidae.